UCGAUGUGACCGGCGUGCUCGUCAAUGACACCUUGGCCUUCGGAACCUCCGGCGAGUUGGCAGAGGUUGCUGGAGUCGUCUUUGGCUGCGCGCACACCAGCUAUGGGUUCAACAGCCAUGAAGUGCUCGCUGGUGCACUCGGCCUGGGAAGGCACAAGCCAUCGCUCAUUUGGACGCUCGGGCAACACAGGCAUGGCGCCGUGCAACUGUGCAAGUGCAUCGCUUCUCCUACUGUCUUCCUAGGCGCGGCUCGCCGGACCACCGCACCUUCCUACGGUUCGGCGACGACGUCCCGAGCACCCAACACAUGGUGAGCACCCAGAUCACGCCCGGCCAAGAUUUCAGCGCCUACUUCGUGUUAGAGGUAAUCUUGAUUGAUAAGAUGUAUACGUGAGGUCCAAGUACUAGUACGUUAGCAAGGUUAGUUUGGCUGGUUGGGUCCGGCUGUAGUAGGCUAUAGGAUAAUUAGUAGUAUUACAACUGCACGAGCAUUGGUACAUGUCCAAGUCAUAGGAGAGUCCGGUCAGGAUCUGUAUCAUGUGUGUCCGUGUAGGUGUAGGACACGGUCUAGUAAGACUGCGUUGGUUGUGUAUAUAAACAUAGCCAAGCCGUGAGUUUUGUAACACGGUGUCGAGAAAAGCAGAAAAUAUAAAGGAAAACAAAGGGCACUACAAGGGCUUUUGGCUAUCAGUUUUGUGUACGCGUGUUCAUUGUAAUUUAAUGUGAUCGAUCCUCUGGCAGAAUUCCAACACUUCGUCACCCUCGUGGGCGUCAGCGUCGCCGGGCGGCCGCUGCAGCAUAUCAGGGAGCUGUUCGAGCGCCACUUGUACCCCUGGGGGUGGACCGGCGAAGUUGUGUUCGAUGUUGGGACGCCAUCGAUGAUGCUGAUAAGCACAGCUUACCAUAAGCUGGAGAACGCCGUGCUAGAGCACCUCAAGCCGCUCGGGGUGUCGCGCGUGCGCCACGCCGGAUACUACCUCUGCUUCCGUGCGACGUCGCACCUAUGGCAGCACCUGCCGACGGUGACACUGCACUUCGCGGAGGAGAACGCACGGCUCGUUCUCACACCACAACGGCUGUUCAUUGCGGUGGGGCAUGACAUCUGCCUCGCCGUGCACUCGAGCCUGGACAUCACCAUCAUCGGCGCAAUGCAGCAAGUGGACACGCGCUUCGUCUACGACGUCAUCGCAGGAAGGAUCUACUUCGCCCCUGAGAAUGCGUGCCAUGCGGAUCUCGGCGGACACAUUUAAUUCAUUCAUCUUUUUGUGUUCUGAAUUUGAAGUGGUCAACUAGAGUAAUCAUCAUCCGUGAAAAUAAAAAUACAAGUGACCAUUCGGAUGUGAACUAGUAAUCUUCUGCUUACCAGUUUCCUGGCUGCUCCCCAUUACAUAAGCACGUGUAAACUUGAGGACAGGUAAGAACACCAUGAGGAGGGGCCUGUUUUUCUUCUGGCUUCUUCAUCCGGUGGAUCCAAAGCAUAAGGUCUUGUAGGAUGUUCUUGAGGGUGGUGAUGUUGUGGUCAUUCUGCUGCCUGAAGGUCAUGGUAUUCCUAGAAUCCCAUAUCUUCCACAGAAUGAUGAGCAAUAUUGAGUUCCAGAUUCUGUGAUCAGUGUCCGCGGGUAUGUGGCAAUCCCAAAGAUCGUCGAUGCAGCCGUUGGGAGUGAUGCCAAGUCUGAGCCAUACACGCCUCGCUAGGGGGCAGUUGAUGAAAAUGAGUGUGAUGUCUUCGCUGUCGAACCCGAAUCUUGUGCAUAGGGCGUCAGAAACAAUAUGCUUACGCAAGAGAUUGGCCUUACAGUUUAGCCGACAACGAAAUAGGAGCCAUGCGAAAAUCUUGACCCGAUUGGGGGCUCGUGAUGUCCAGAUAGGCAUGGAGUGGAGGUCCACCAAGUCCUCUCUCAGGGUGAGCUCGUAUGCUGCUUUAGUGGAGAAAGGUAGGCCGCUAAUGAGGAAGUGCUCAUCUGGUUCUUGCGAUGGCUGAAAGUCUUGCAAUAAAGACAACAAAGACAACAACUUGGACGCAACAUUAGAGGUUAGGCGAGUCCGCAGGAAAGAUUCUAAACCUUGAUUCAAAACAGCAGCCACGCAAGCAAGUGGGAGAGUGGCGUGUGAGUAUAGGUAGGGGAACAAUUCUGCAAGUGGUCUAUGAUGUAGCCAAGUAUCUAGCCAAGAAUAUGUGUUGGUCCCAGAGUUGGUCAGAACAAAGGAAAUGGGAUGUAGGAAGGGGAGUUGUUGGUUAAUGGUUCUGCAGAGAAAGGAUUGGUUGCUUUGUGGGUUAAUAAGAGCAUUGGGGUGUUGGAGAGCAAGUCAGUCAAGCCAUGGUGUGCGUUGUGGUAGUAAAGCUUUGGCGGCAAAUUUCAUGAGGAGAGAGCGAUUUUGUUGUGGCAGAUUCUUCAGUCCUAGACCACCAAAUUUCUUCGGUUUUCAAACAUCUUUCCAACCAACUAGACAGUCAGUACCCGUGCAUGUUUCUUCAGCAUCCCAAAACAAAGCGCGGCGGAUCGAAUCCAGAGUUGUGAGUACACUUUUCGGGAUGAGAAAGACGGACAUAAAGUAAACCAGGGUGGAUUCAAUUACUAUGAUAGGACGAUUAGUCGACUAUCGCUUUAGAGAGCAGUCGAGCGGCCAAUCGGAGAGAACUUUUUUGCAUUUGUCGAUAAUAGAUAGAAAUGCAUUGGCGGGUAGGCGAGUAGGCGCUAGAGGGAGUCCUAGGUAGAUCCGCGGGAAAGAGGAGACUGGGCAUUGUAGGGUGGAUGCAAUGAAGGAAGCAAUGUCAGGCGUGACAUGUAGGGUGGUUUUUGUGGUCGUGCAUUUUUAAUUUAUAUUUACAAGUAAACUCAAUUAAGCAUCGGCACAACCAAAGGUGAUCUUUGCACCUAUACAGUUUCUAUGGAUCACUGCAAAGCACAAACAUUUCUCAACUUGUAAAAUGGAUUUCCUCGAACUAUAGGUUUUUGGCCUAAUUGCUCACAAAUAGUUAAAUUCUGCAACAAAAUAUUACUAGUAUAACGUAGGGUGGGAUACAUUUAUCGAGCAAUAUAUAUUGAGUUUGUCAUAGAUACACAGAAUUCCCUAUUUGACGGCGUUUCAUCAAAUUACUGGGCAACAAACCCGGCCUCUGCAUAACUAGAAUGGAAAAAAAAUGUACCCAUUGGGUAGGCCGGGUACGGGUAUGGAACGCAUACACCCGGUCUCUGUAUAAUUAAUUAGAAUGCACAUAGCCAACCCAACACACACACACGAAAACACACCAGCGACUAGUAAAGUCAUAAGAGCAAAAGUUAUGCCUUGGCAUGAAAAAAGAAAAAGAAAAAGAAAAAGAAACCGCCCCAAAUCAAUCAAAUCAGCGAUCGACAAACUAUAUUUAAGAUCAUAUCGGCACCAACCGUUGGCACCACAUUGAUGAUGAGGAUUUUCCACACCACCGCCUUCCGGAAGAAAGCGACACUCAAGUGCCGCCGUCACCAAAUCCAAUCACAAAGGUCAGAAUGAAAGUUUUCACCUUGAUGAAACAGUUUGAACUAAAUCUAUGCAUGGAUAGCCCGGCCCAGAGGCCUGACCCCCAAAGCCCAGCAUCCGGGCCAGGCCUGGGCUCCAUUUUUUGGCCCAAAGACCGGCCCAAAAGCCCGGAAUAAGCCCCAAAUGCCCAUAAAAUCUAGAUUUUAUUUGGAAUAUAGAUAUAGUUUAUUAUUUUAAUACCCCAAAUAUUAUUAUUUUAAUUGAAAAUGUCACUGUUCCUGUGCUUCGGGCCGGGCCAGGUGCCCGGGCCCAACCUGGCCCAGCCCGAGGAAUGAUCAGGUCUAGACUGAACGUAUCUGAGCAAUGCCUCCAACAAAAUAACGACAUAAAAAACAUCACCAUUGUCAGGGAUGACCACUCGGGUCUGACCUGGUUCGCCCUGGACCUCGAGACCAGGUGCUCGCAGAACCACCAACCCAGCAGCUUCAAUUUAAUUGCCGCCACUCCAGAAGCAUCUCUACUAUCUAUCACUCUUUCUGAUUUGCACCAUUAAUUCAAGAAUGGCAUGAAUUAAUUUGUGCGUAUUUCCUCCAUAGGUAUCUGUAAGGGAUAUGCAGUUUUUUUUGCCUCUAUCUAUCACUCUUUUCGAUUUGCAGCAUUAAUUCAAGAAUGGCAUGAAUUAAUGUGUGUGUAUCUCCUCCCUAGAUAUCUGCAAGGGACAUGCAGCAAACCCUCCACUCCAAUAUACACACACGUCAAAUCUGGAUUUACGAGCCAACAAGCAUUGCUGCAACAGAAAUGUCCAUGAAGCUCGCCGCGUGCUCUCUCCUCCUUCCUCUAGUGCUUGCGGCGCUCCUCCACCCGGCUGAUGUCGUCGCUGUAGGUGAUGGCACACCAGACCGCGGUGGCGGUGGCUUCAGCCUGCGGCUGGUACCCAGCCACGGCUGGAACCGUAGCAUCCACGUCGACGACGACGGCUUCGUGCACCUGAAUGAGCACCCCACCACCGCGCUUCGGCCGCCCAUGCACACACAAAUUGGGGGCAAGUACAGCGUCGUCACCACCGUUGGGACGGGAGCGGGACGACGCACGUACGUCCUCGCGCUGGAUAUGACCAGCAGCGAACUGUGGAUGCAGUGCAAGCCGGUCCAAAAGCCUUUCGCACAGCAGCCGCCGCCCUUCGAGCCUGCCAAGUCGCCGUCGUUCCGCCAUGUACCCGGCAACAGCAGGUUAUGCUUGCCGCCCGCUCAUGGGCAUCGGCCCACAGUUCAAGACCCAUGCAAGUUUCGUAGCUUCGGACUUAACGGCACCGAUGCGAGAGGCGUCCUGAGCAACGAGACCUUGGCCUUCGCGGCCGCCGGCCAGGAGGCGGAGGUUGCUGGCGUCGUCAUUGGCUGCACGCACAGCAGCGACGGCUUCAACUUCAACAGCCACGGAGUGCUCGCCGGGGUGCUCGGCCUGGGAAGGCAGGCCCCGUCGCUCAUCUGGACGCUCGGCCAACACAGGCAUGUUGCCGUGCAAGUGCAUCGCUUCUCUUACUGCCUCCCUAGCCACGGCUCGCCGGACCACCACACCUUUCUUCGGUUCGGCGACGACAUCCCACACACCCAACACAUGGUGAGCACCAAGAUCUUGUACACGAGCUUCACCACUAGCCGAGAUUUCAGCGCCUACUUCGUCUCCCUCACGGGCGUCAGCGUCGGCGGGCGGCAGCUGGACCUGGAGCAUAUCGGGGAGCUGUUCAAGCGCCACAUCCAUGGUGGCAGGUGGACCGGCGGGUGCGCGUUCGAUGCUGGGACUGCGGCAAUGGUGAUGGUAGCGCCCGCUUACGAAAAGCUCAAGGACGCCGUGUUGGAGCACCUCAAGCCGCUAGGGGUGCCAACCGUGUCCCGCGUCGAGUACCACCUCUGCUUCCGCACGACAUCGCAGCUCUGGCAGCACCUGCCCACGGUGACGCUGCAGUUCGCCGAGCCUGAAGCGCGGCUCGUGCUGCCGCCACAACGGCUGUUCGUCGCAGUGGGGCACGACAUCUGCCUCGCCGUGGUGCGGAGCAACGACAUCACCA
RNAcentral lists this long non-coding RNA (5524 nucleotides) under Triticum aestivum (bread wheat). RNAcentral describes it as "long non-coding RNA (TAES_LNC002160)". The record is from RNAcentral. Lineage: Eukaryota; Viridiplantae; Streptophyta; Magnoliopsida; Poales; Poaceae.